NNNNNNNNNNNNNAUGGAUUUUCAGGUGUUUGCAAUCUUUAGAUAAGCUAUCUAGCUGAUCUCCGGCUAGCUGAAGCAGUCUCAGCUUGCUACUUCUCCACCAUCUUGACUCCUCCAAGGAGACCUUUAGAAACAACUUGUCAAGUCCUCACCAUGACUACCAUUGGAAUUGCAGUUGGAAUGGCAUUGAAUGCGUAGAUUUAAUUUUUGGAGAGCUAUCGUCUUUAUAAUCUCCUCAUACAUGAAUGUGAAGUGCUUCCUCCAUCCUGCAAGCUUCUGGGAACUCAGUGCCCAUUGUGUACAGGAUAUGUACCCAUUGAAGACCUUCAUGCCCUCCAAUAUAAGGCUAACUGUGUUCUCACUACAGAAGUUUAGAAUCAGAGAGGAGGAUCUGGUAGAAGACUUCAUGGGGGGAGAAGAAAAGGCAAGAAGCGGACAAGGACUACAGCCUGUCUUCAUCUCAACUUCACAAAGCAUGGUUCAGCAGAGGGAUCAUCCUCUUGAGACUCUCCAGACCACAGGUUGCUCCUUUCAGUUGCAUGCUUAGCCCUCUCAGGUAUUUUCUCUGUUCAGAAAUUGUAUUAUAUGUGUAUAUACGAACUAUCACUUCCAUAAAGAGUACUCCACAUUCCCAGGGGGAAAAAAAUCCCUAAAAUAAGGUGUAAGGCUUGCUCUGUUAGGUUUCCAAUUGUCAGAAAUUGCUGGAUUCCCCAAUGCUGGGGUAUAGGCCACCAGAGAAGAGUUUGGGUUUCAACAGCAAAGGACCCCAGCAUCAUGGAAGGAAGGCAGUCAGCUGACUUGAAAGUAACCCCCAUCCCUGUACUUCAUAUUAUUACUACUUUUUCCUUCUGCUCCUUGUCUAAGAUACCACUGGCGACAGCAAACCAAAGCCAUACUCUCUUCUCCCAAUGGCACUUUUCUGGCCUGAGUGAAUGCUGUUAGAAGUCACUCUUUCAUUAGCACGUCCUUCCCAUUUCUUAAGACCCAGAUAGUCAUGAAUGCUAGAGUUGGCGUUGAAUUUGCCCUACUUGGCCUCUGUGGUUGGGGAAUACUAAUGUUAAUCAGCCUCAUACCCACUCACUCCUGAUUUCAUGACAGAUGCUAGAGAAGCUGUAGCCAAGGCUGGCAACCCUGUAGACCCCAGCUCCAGGAUUUAAUUGAUGUCUCAGCUGGUUACAGAAUACUGGUAGGAGGGCUUGCCUUAACCCAGCCCCCCUUCUGAGUUAGUCAUCAGAAAUCAGGACUUGUCUUAGGGCAUAUGUUACAUAAGGACAGAUACCUCAGGGAUUAAUAGUAAACAAGAUUAGGAGUCCAAGUUACCUUUUCUCUCUCUUGGGGAUGGGUGGCAUAGGGUAAGUGGAAAGUCUUGUGACUUUCAAAUAUAUUCCCAGUGAUUCCUCAGGAUACCCUGGGUCACACCAUCUGCUAUCUUAUUCUGGGUAUUGCCUUUCCUUCAGAGUUUUUCUAGUGCUCUUCUUGGCUCUCCCUAACCACCUUUCAUUCCCUGCCCAACCCUGUUGGGUUUCAGCGGGUGUUUUGUUUUGUUCUUUUCCUUUCCCUUCCUCAGGCCACCUGUGACAGUCGUCACUUGGGGGGAGCCUUGUUGUGAAUGAGUGAAUGAAGCCUCAGUGAGUGAGUGGAGUGGCACUCAUGUUUUUCUCUGAAUAUAAGGAGAGGGAAGGAGGCCAUGAAAUCCCAUAAUGGAGUAACAAAAAUUUGACAUUUUAGUAGAUACUGGACCUAGAAGCCUACGUGAAUGAGGGAAACAAACCUGAGAGAUCUUGGAUGUGACUGAAUGAAGAUAGGAGUGAACUCCUUAUUACCCUUAGUAAUGGAGGAAGAGGGGAAAAAGUGUGAGGGAGGUCAUAAAAUCCUUUAUGUCCCCAGAGGAAGCCCUGAAAUCAGCUUCAUAAACCAGUGACUUUUUAAGGUGGAUUAAAGAUGAGUUGUUGCACUGCACUACUUCCGUUGCUGUUUGUGUUGAGAGUUGCUGUUCCAAGCCGUUUUCUCAGGUACAGCUGCCUUUGUGGAGACUCCUCUUGACCCCUAUUGAGAAACAGCCCAGAACGAGGUUUGCAACUUAGAACUCUCUGGAUCAGUGACAGAGUUUUAAAGGGGUCGAGGACAGAGGAGGUAGCACAAGUAAUACCAGAUAUCUCAGGUAUAUAUAUAUAUAUAUAUAUAUGGGAUGGAUGGGAUAGAGGUGGAGAGCACAAUGGUUUUAGGCAACUCCUAACACCUGGUGAGGCAUAAGGAAACAGUACACUGAGAGGUCAGCCCUUCAGCAUAUUAUUUGUCAAUCUCCAGAGCAUGAUAGAAUAUCUAAAAGUUGUAAAAGAUUCUUUCCUAGAAGAGAUUCAGAAGAGGGGAACUUCCCGUUAUGUAAUGUGGGUAUUACAGCUUUUAAAGAGUUCCCUACAUAGGUCAUGGAGAUUGUUACUCAUAUCAGCCUGUGGGUGACCAGGCGAGUAUUAACUUCGAGGUUUCAUGCCCUUGGAGAGAUCCUGCCACUCUCUUGCUUUGACAGGUGUUCAUCUGCAGAAUGAGUCCAGUACUUGAAGAAGUAAGAGGACAACAGGCAUCAGGGGACAACAGUGUGGUCUUCUAACUGAAGAUGGCAACAGAAAAGAUCAUGGACUUGGCUGGUUUGGGCUGGGCUUAUUUGCUGUUUCAGAAUUUAAAAAAUACUUUUUUUUUUCUUGACAGUAAAAGUAACAGAUGAUCAUUGUUGAAAAAGGUAUAAAUAAAAAAAUCAAGAACACCUGUAAUCUUACAACCCAGAAAACAACUCAACAUUUGAGUGUUUCCUUUUGCCCUUUUAAAAAAGAAUCUCUGUAACACAGUUUUUCACAUUUUUAUUUUAAUUUCAGUUAGUAAACCUGCAGUGUUCUGUUCAUUUCGGAUGUACAAUUUAAAAACAAAAUUGACAUCAUAUUGCAUGUUUUCCAUUUUUCUUUAUUUGAAAAUAACGUAUUUCCAUGUCAUUACCAUUCUUUGAAAACACAGUAUUGGUACAUGGUAUUUCAUAGGGAUCUAACAAAAUUUAGGUAGAUAAUUGAAUGCUGCUGGACAUUUUGCAUAUUACCAAUUUUGCCUAUAAAAUUGUAAUAAACAUUGUAUAUUAAUCACUGUGUACAUUUCUAAUUAUUUCUUCCCAGUAAAUUUCUGGAAUUGGAACUACUGGGUUUGAUGAGAGCAAUAUUAGGGCAUCUGAAAGGUACUGUUGAAUUGUCCUCAGUAUAGUUGUAAAAAUUCAUUCCCGUCAUUGGUGUAUGUACGUGCACGUUUCUCCACACAUUUCAUCAAAAUAUGGCCUUUCCUCUCUUUUUAUAAAUCUUUGCUCAUUUAAUAGGUAAAUGUAAGAGAUUUAUUGGUUGAUUGAUUUAUAUAUUUAAGAGGGAGAGCAUGUGCAUGUGUUGGGGGAGGAGCAAGGGGAGAAGCAGUCUUCUUGCUCAGCAGGGAGCCGAAUGCAGGGCUCGGGACCCUGGCAUCAUGACCUGGGCCAAAGGCAGACCCUUAACUGACUGAGCCACCCGGAUGCCCCUGUUCUAUGGGUUUUGACCUAAGGCAAAGCCAAGAGUUGAAUAUUAACCUACUGUGCCAUGCAGGCACCCCUCACUGUUCUUUAAGUUUUUAAAUUCCAGUUAACUUACAUUGUUCUAUCAGUUUCAGAUGUGCAGUAUAGUAUGUACAUAUAUAUAUAUAUGUGCUGUCACAACAGCGGCUGUGAUACCAAAAUCUCUCUUCUUUCUGGAUAGCACCACCGGUAACUUGUCCUCUGGAAUAGAAACUGGGAUAGGAACAUGGGUAGGGAUACGCAUAAUCACAGCCAGCUUGAAGGCCGUGACAUUCCAGCACUGGGAAAGAUAGCAAUUCUUAGUGCAAUUCAACAUAUCAUUCAGCUCGCUAGCAUUUGUUACGAGGAAAAGGAACGGUGGCGAGACGCAAAUGGGAGUGGGCUGAUAAGUAAUAUUAUUGGGACAAGACACAUUAACUGUUGUCUCAAAGGUACUAGAGUCAUUUUAAGAACAGUUGAGGAAUUUGCCACCAUUUAACAUGGACACUGCUGAGAUAUCAGUACAUGCUCCUAGCAAGUUACAGACCUGCCGUGCAUCAAAGGAAGAGGAGGGAUUGCCUUGCUUAGGAUUUUGAAAGGAAUAAUUGUACCCUGAAAGGUAUUAUUUUUAUAACUAGGAAAGCGUGGAGUGAAUGUAAAGCUAUGCAUUUCAUUGAUGUAAACUGAGCGCAAGGUACUCUGACAUCCAGACCACUCCGGUGGCCAUACCCUGUUAUUGGUGCACCUGAGGAACUUAAAGGGUUGAUAUGGCCCCGAGGCAUUAAUAGGUUUCACAGGGGCCAAACCCUGGAUCACAGGUGGUCCCAUUGAGGUAUGUUUAGCAAGCCUUCAUCUGGGAACCAUGGAGCCGCCUUUUCCACUGUAUUCAAAAAGGCCCGAGCAGUUUUUGCUUUUAGUGGAGUUUCAUUGGCUUUCAGCAGGUCUUUUAAAGACCCUUCCAACCGCACUUUAGAUACUUCAGAUCCCAUUAUGAACACACAGACAACAGACG
This 4568-nucleotide long non-coding RNA is filed under the name Mustela putorius furo (domestic ferret). RNAcentral describes it as "lncRNA (ENSMPUG00000030696.1)". The record is from RNAcentral. Lineage: Eukaryota; Metazoa; Chordata; Mammalia; Carnivora; Mustelidae.